GAGCGGACAGAUGGGAGCUUGCUCCCUGAUGUUAGCGGCGGACGGGUGAGUAACACGUGGGUAACCUGCCUGUAAGACUGGGAUAACUCCGGGAAACCGGGGCUAAUACCGGAUGGUUGUUUGAACCGCAUGGUUCAGACAUAAAAGGUGGCUUCGGCUACCACUUACAGAUGGACCCGCGGCGCAUUAGCUAGUUGGUGAGGUAACGGCUCACCAAGGCAACGAUGCGUAGCCGACCUGAGAGGGUGAUCGGCCACACUGGGACUGAGACACGGCCCAGACUCCUACGGGAGGCAGCAGUAGGGAAUCUUCCGCAAUGGACGAAAGUCUGACGGAGCAACGCCGCGUGAGUGAUGAAGGUUUUCGGAUCGUAAAGCUCUGUUGUUAGGGAAGAACAAGUGCCGUUCAAAUAGGGCGGCACCUUGACGGUACCUAACCAGAAAGCCACGGCUAACUACGUGCCAGCAGCCGCGGUAAUACGUAGGUGGCAAGCGUUGUCCGGAAUUAUUGGGCGUAAAGGGCUCGCAGGCGGUUUCUUAAGUCUGAUGUGAAAGCCCCCGGCUCAACCGGGGAGGGUCAUUGGAAACUGGGGAACUUGAGUGCAGAAGAGGAGAGUGGAAUUCCACGUGUAGCGGUGAAAUGCGUAGAGAUGUGGAGGAACACCAGUGGCGAAGGCGACUCUCUGGUCUGUAACUGACGCUGAGGAGCGAAAGCGUGGGGAGCGAACAGGAUUAGAUACCCUGGUAGUCCACGCCGUAAACGAUGAGUGCUAAGUGUUAGGGGGUUUCCGCCCCUUAG
RNAcentral lists this ribosomal RNA (798 nucleotides) under Bacillus sp. (in: firmicutes). RNAcentral's name for it is "bacterial SSU rRNA". It matches the Rfam family "Bacterial small subunit ribosomal RNA", at positions 64 to 843 of the family's 1533-position model. The record is from RNAcentral. Lineage: Bacteria; Bacillati; Bacillota; Bacilli; Caryophanales; Bacillaceae.